This 426-nucleotide ribosomal RNA is filed under the name uncultured Lysobacteraceae bacterium. RNAcentral's name for it is "bacterial SSU rRNA". It matches the Rfam family "Bacterial small subunit ribosomal RNA", at positions 356 to 774 of the family's 1533-position model. The record is from RNAcentral. Lineage: Bacteria; Pseudomonadati; Pseudomonadota; Gammaproteobacteria; Lysobacterales; Lysobacteraceae.
GGGGAUUAUUGAACAUUGGGGCCAAGCUUGAUCCACCCAUGCGGGGUGGUGGAAGAAGGCCUUCGGGUGGAAAAGCCUUUUGGUGGGGAAAGAAAACAAGCCGCCAAUAACCGGGUGGUUCUAACGUUACCAAAAGAAUAAGAACCGCCAAACUCCGUGCCAGCAGCCGCGGUAAUACGAAGGGUGCAAGCGUUACUCGGAAUUACUGGGCGUAAAGCGUGCGUAGGUGGUGGUUUAAGUCCGUUGUGAAAGCCCUGGGCUCAACCUGGGAACUGCAGUGGAUACUGGAUCACUAGAGUGUGGCAGAGGGUAGUGGAAUUCCCGGUGUAGCAGUGAAAUGCGUAGAGAUCGGGAGGAACAUCAGUGGCGAAGGCGACUGCCUGGGCCAACACUGACACUGAGGCACGAAAGCGUGGGGAGCAAACA